RNAcentral lists this transfer RNA (68 nucleotides) under Cynoglossus sinicus. RNAcentral's name for it is "tRNA-Ser". Lineage: Eukaryota; Metazoa; Chordata; Actinopteri; Pleuronectiformes; Cynoglossidae. The record is from RNAcentral.
GAGAGAGGUUAGAUAACAAUAAGAACUGCUAAUUCUUUCCCCCUAGGUUUAAUUCCCAGGCUCACUCG